This 465-nucleotide ribosomal RNA is filed under the name Vreelandella stevensii. RNAcentral describes it as "partial 16S ribosomal RNA". It matches the Rfam family "Bacterial small subunit ribosomal RNA", at positions 338 to 795 of the family's 1533-position model. Lineage: Bacteria; Pseudomonadati; Pseudomonadota; Gammaproteobacteria; Oceanospirillales; Halomonadaceae. The record is from RNAcentral.
CCUACGGGGUGCUGCAGUGGGGAAUAUUGGACAAUGGGCGAAAGCCUGAUCCAGCCAUGCCGCGUGUGUGAAGAAGGCCUUCGGGUUGUAAAGCACUUUCAGUGGGGAAGAAAGCCUUGGGGCUAAUACCCUCGAGGAAGGACAUCACCCACAGAAGAAGCACCGGCUAACUCCGUGCCAGCAGCCGCGGUAAUACGGAGGGUGCGAGCGUUAAUCGGAAUUACUGGGCGUAAAGCGCGCGUAGGCGGUCUGAUAAGCCGGUUGUGAAAGCCCCGGGCUCAACCUGGGAACGGCAUCCGGAACUGUCAGGCUAGAGUGCAGGAGAGGAAGGUAGAAUUCCCGGUGUAGCAGUGAAAUGCGUAGAGAUCGGGAGGAAUACCAGUGGCGAAGGCGGCCUUCUGGACUGACACUGACGCUGAGGUGCGAAAGCGUGGGUAGCAAACAGGAUUAGAUACCCGGGUAGUC